This 354-nucleotide transfer-messenger RNA is filed under the name Arenicellales. RNAcentral's name for it is "UBA11791 sp022451485 Standard tmRNA". It matches the Rfam family "transfer-messenger RNA". From Rfam's summary of the family: Bacterial tmRNA, also known as 10Sa RNA or SsrA, is named for its dual tRNA and mRNA-like properties. Its role is to liberate the mRNA from a stalled ribosome. To accomplish this part of the tmRNA is used as a reading frame that ends in a translation stop signal. Lineage: Bacteria; Pseudomonadati; Pseudomonadota; Gammaproteobacteria. RNAcentral also lists the same sequence under 3 other names. The record is from RNAcentral.
GGGGGCGACCUGGGUUCGACGUGGGUUGCGAAGCCAUCGGAGCAUGCCGAGGUUGAAGAUCUCCUCGUAAAUCCAGCUUCAAACGUUUAGUUGCCAACGACGACAACUACGCUCUAGCGGCUUAACCCUGCUAGCCUCUCGCCCGGUUCGACCAUGGGCUAGGAACCGAGGGGUCGAAAAACAUGGUCUCGCGCUGACGCUUUCCUGCGCGCGGCAGCGUUAAAACUCAGUGGGAUCGCCGACCAUCACCCUGUCUGCCGGGGGUUGGAAGGUCAAAUCAAAGACAGACUAAGCAUGUAGGGCCGGUGAGUAGAGGACUGACGGACGCGGGUUCGAUUCCCGCCGCCUCCACCA